GUUUUGGGGCAAAGACGGAUGAA
This 23-nucleotide non-coding RNA is filed under the name Cricetulus griseus (Chinese hamster). The record is from RNAcentral. Lineage: Eukaryota; Metazoa; Chordata; Mammalia; Rodentia; Cricetidae.